Molecule: long non-coding RNA, 1181 nt
Organism: Myxocyprinus asiaticus (Chinese sucker)
Lineage: Eukaryota; Metazoa; Chordata; Actinopteri; Cypriniformes; Catostomidae
Exons: 3
Source: RefSeq, a predicted model, not a curated record
UGACGUUAAGACCUUAAGUCAUACAGAUUUCCAUGCAAAAGACCAUAAAAAGACAGCCUCUUUGAAGGCUGCACACAUUUACGUACAGUAUUUUUUUGUUAUACUAAAAACAUACUCUAUUUAAAUACAUAAAUCUGUUCAGUACGGGUGUAUGGAAUCUUGUUUGUACAGUGAAAAUAACAUCUGUGCAUCAGGGUAUGUUUGCAGGUUUUCUCUGGAGAAGAGGAAGCAGAGGUGUGAGCCGAGGCAUUUUUUCCACUCGUUGUAAUCAUGAGCUCACGGGCAGAGUCAGCACUCCAAACACACUCAGAUGACAUGAACAACUUCAGCUGCAGUACGUCCCACAAUACUCCGCAGCAAAUGUGAAAGCGACAGAAAUGCUGGAGGUUCUGCUUCAGAGUCCAGCUAACAGAGCUUGAAGAGGGUGCUGUUUAGCCGCGGGUUUCAGUAUACGGGCGGAUUGUCUGCGCUAUUAUGCCAGCCAUGAGAAUGGAAUAUGAUUAAUGUCGCCCCCAGAGGCCAUAAUGUCAUAAGGAGAAAUGAAAAGUCAAGGUGGUAUCCAGAGGAUUAAGUGAACUGGGUGGGACAGACCUCCACAAUCAGCUGCACGUCACUUAACCGUCUGCUUUCCAAGGUUUAAUAUGACGUCGGCCCACCCUUUGCAGCUAUAACAGCUUCAACUCUUCUGGGAAGGCUUUCCACAAGGUUUAGGAGUGUGUUUAUGGGAAUUUUUGACCAUUCUUCCAGAAGCGCAUUUGUGAGGUCAGACACUGAUGUUGGACGAGAAAGCCUGGCUCACAGUCUUCGCUCUAAUUCAUCCCAAAGGUGCUCUAUCGGGUUGAGGUCAGGACUCUGUGCAGGCCAGUCAAGUUCUUCCACACCAAACUCGCUCAUCCAUGUCUUUAUGGACCUUGCUUUGUGCACUGGUGCGCAGUCAUGUUGGAACAGGAAGGGGCCAUCCCCAAACUGUUCCCACAAAUUUGGGAGCAUGGAAUUGUCCAAAAUCUCUUGGUAUGCUGAAGCAUUCAGAGUUCCUUUCACUGGAACUAAGGGGCCAAGCCCAGCUCCUGAAAAACAACCCCACACCAUAAUCCCCCCUCCACCAAACUUCACAGUUGGCACAAUGCAGUCAGACAAGUACCGUUCUCCUGGCAACCGCCAAACCCAGACUCGUCCAUCAG